This 76-nucleotide transfer RNA is filed under the name Candidatus Lambdaproteobacteria bacterium RIFOXYD12_FULL_49_8. Its description in RNAcentral is "tRNA-Lys". It matches the Rfam family "tRNA". Rfam says of the family: Transfer RNA (tRNA) molecules are approximately 80 nucleotides in length. Their secondary structure includes four short double-helical elements and three loops (D, anti-codon, and T loops). Further hydrogen bonds mediate the characteristic L-shaped molecular structure. tRNAs have two regions of fundamental functional importance: the anti-codon, which is responsible for specific mRNA codon recognition, and the 3' end, to which the tRNAs corresponding amino acid is attached (by aminoacyl-tRNA synthetases). tRNAs cope with the degeneracy of the genetic code in two manners: having more than one tRNA (with a specific anti-codon) for a particular amino acid; and 'wobble' base-pairing, i.e. permitting non-standard base-pairing at the 3rd anti-codon position. RNAcentral also lists the same sequence under 1 other name. Lineage: Bacteria; Pseudomonadati; Pseudomonadota; Candidatus Lambdaproteobacteria. The record is from RNAcentral.
GGGCCGGUAGCUCAGUUGGUAGAGCACCUGACUUUUAAUCAGGUUGUCGUGGGUUCGAUCCCCCCCCGGCUCACCA